GACCGUGUGCCCGAGUGGUUGAGGGGCUCGCCUGCAAAGCGAGUUACGUCGGUUCAAUUCCGAUCACGGUCUC
RNAcentral lists this transfer RNA (73 nucleotides) under Streptomyces zaomyceticus. RNAcentral's name for it is "tRNA-Cys". It matches the Rfam family "tRNA". From Rfam's summary of the family: Transfer RNA (tRNA) molecules are approximately 80 nucleotides in length. Lineage: Bacteria; Bacillati; Actinomycetota; Actinomycetes; Kitasatosporales; Streptomycetaceae. The record is from RNAcentral.